This 807-nucleotide ribosomal RNA is filed under the name Phlegmacium glaucopus. RNAcentral's name for it is "eukaryotic LSU rRNA". The stretch from base 291 to 444 matches the Rfam family "5.8S ribosomal RNA". The record is from RNAcentral. Lineage: Eukaryota; Fungi; Basidiomycota; Agaricomycetes; Agaricales; Cortinariaceae.
GGAAGUAAAAGUCGUAACAAGGUUUCCGUAGGUGAACCUGCGGAAGGAUCAUUAUUGAAAUAAACCUGAUGAGUUGCUGCUGGUUCUCUAGGGAGCAUGUGCACACUUGUCAUCUUUGUAUCUCCACCUGUGCACCUUUUGUAGACCUGGAUAUCUCUCUGAAUGCUAGUCACUCAGGUUUGAGGAUUGACUUUAUGUCUCUCCUUGCAUUUCCAGGCCUAUGUUUCUUUAUAUACCCAAUGUAUGUCAUAGAAUGUAAUCAAUGGGCCUUUGUGCCUAUAAACCUAUACAACUUUCAGCAACGGAUCUCUUGGCUCUCGCAUCGAUGAAGAACGCAGCGAAAUGCGAUAAGUAAUGUGAAUUGCAGAAUUCAGUGAAUCAUCGAAUCUUUGAACGCACCUUGCGCUCCUUGGUAUUCCGAGGAGCAUGCCUGUUUGAGUGUCAUUAAUAUAUCAACCUCUUCAACUUUUGUUUGUCGGGUGUUGGAUUUGGGGGUCUUUUUUGCUGGUCUUGUAUCUACAGGUCAGCUCCCCUGAAAUGCAUUAGCAGAACAAUUUGUGAACCGUUCAUUGGUGUGAUAACUAUCUACGCUGUUGACGUGAAACAGGUUCAGCUUCUAACAGUCCAUUGACUUGGACAACUUUUCAUUAAUGUGACCUCAAAUCAGGUAGGACUACCCGCUGAACUUAAGCAUAUCAAUAAGCGGAGGAAAAGAAACUAACAAGGAUUCCCCUAGUAACUGCGAGUGAAGCGGGAAAAGCUCAAAUUUAAAAUCUGUCAGUCUUUGGCUGUCCGAGUUGUAAUCUA